AUCGCCUCUGCUCUGCAGACGGGGGGACGGAUGCAACAUCCAUCUUGCUUUAUUCCGAAAAGCGUCUCAAAGGCGAUUUGAUUACACGGCAUUCCCGCUGCCCCCGGAAGAGAUUGCGGCUUAAAAUAAUAAUAAUAAUAAAUUAAGAAUAAAUAAGAAGAAAGAAAGAAAUAUCCAAAUCGCAGCGAAAUAUAUAUAUAUAUAUAUAUAAUAUAUAUAUAUAUAAAAGGAGCAAUUUGGGGAAAAUCCGCGUUUUCCUCCGGCGGAGAUCGGGGCGCGGAGCCGCCGCCGGGUUUGCAGCCGCCGGGCUGGGGCGAAGACGCCGGAGUUUGGGUACAAAUUCCAAAGAUUUGGGAAGAGUUGGCUAGCUAGAAUUAUUGUAUUUCUUGAGCGCUGCGGGCCGGUAGGUGAACGCUGAGAGCCGGGGCGGUUUUGUUGGCGUCUCCGUUGGGUUUGGGUCGUUUUAGGGGCUCCGUGAGGCCCUAAAAAUGCGUUUCAGAGGGAAAAAAAAAAAAAAAGAAAAAAAAAAAAGGAACCGGAGGAGGGAGGGUUGGAAGCGGGAUUCAAAGCCCGGUUAGGUUCCUCCUUGCUUUUAUUGUGGCUGUUAUUGGCUUUUUAGGAAAUGAACUUCGGUUUCUUGGCAGAGUUAUGGUUCUCGGGGCAUUUCGGAAAGUGCCUUUUAUCAGCAGGACCUCGCUGCGGCUCUAUUAUAUAUUAUAUAUAUAGAUACAAGCUUUUUUUUUUAAUAUAUAUA
Oxyura jamaicensis (ruddy duck) is the source of this 754-nucleotide long non-coding RNA. RefSeq lists it as uncharacterized. NCBI's taxonomy places the organism in Eukaryota, Metazoa, Chordata, Aves, Anseriformes, Anatidae. The record is from RefSeq and is a predicted model, not a curated record. The transcript has 2 exons.